RNAcentral lists this ribosomal RNA (253 nucleotides) under uncultured bacterium. Its description in RNAcentral is "partial 16S ribosomal RNA". It matches the Rfam family "Bacterial small subunit ribosomal RNA", at positions 524 to 776 of the family's 1533-position model. The record is from RNAcentral.
UACGUAGGGUGCGAGCGUUAAUCGGAAUUACUGGGCGUAAAGUGUGCGCAGGUGGCCGCGCAAGUCGAGUGUGAAAUCCCCGAGCUUAACUUGGGAACUGCGCUCGAAACUACUUGGCUAGAGUGUGGCAGAGGGAGGUGGAAUUCCACGUGUAGCGGUGAAAUGCGUAGAGAUGUGGAGGAACACCGAUGGCGAAGGCAGCCUCCUGGGCCAACACUGACGCUCAUGCACGAAAGCGUGGGGAGCAAACAGG